RNAcentral lists this ribosomal RNA (489 nucleotides) under uncultured bacterium. RNAcentral's name for it is "partial 16S ribosomal RNA". It matches the Rfam family "Bacterial small subunit ribosomal RNA", at positions 30 to 507 of the family's 1533-position model. The record is from RNAcentral.
UUGCACGCUGGCGGCAGGCCUAACCCAUGCAAGUCGCACGGUAACAGGAAGAAGCUUGCUUCUUUGCUGACGAGUGGCGGACGGGUGAGUAAUGUCUGGGAAACUGCCUGAUGGAGGGGGAUAACUACUGGAAACGGUAGCUAAUACCGCAUAACGUCGCAAGACCAAAGAGGGGGACCUUCGGGCCUCUUGCCAUCGGAUGUGCCCAGAUGGGAUUAGCUAGUAGGUGGGGUAACGGCUCACCUAGGCGACGAUCCCUAGCUGGUCUGAGAGGAUGACCAGCCACACUGGAACUGAGACACGGUCCAGACUCCUACGGGAGGCAGCAGUGGGGAAUAUUGCACAAUGGGCGCAAGCCUGAUGCAGCCAUGCCGCGUGUAUGAAGAAGGCCUUCGGGUUGUAAAGUACUUUCAGCGGGGAGGAAGGGAGUAAAGUUAAUACCUUUGCUCAUUGACGUUACCCGCAGAAGAAGCACCGGCUAACUCCGUG